GCGCAAGUCAGGUUCUCCGGUGUCUGGUGUGCGAGUGCAUGCCUGUCUCCCUUGAGCCUGCUCUGGACCUGAAAUCAGAAGAGAUGUGCUUUCUCUUCUUCUGAGGUGUGGAUGGUGGAGGCGGAGCAGCCUCGUGCUGGAGACGAGAAAACCUCCUUCUUCCAGUCCAAACCACCUGACGAUUUGGACACAAGCCCAUCAGCUGACAAAUGACCAUUUCGAGGCUUCCCUUGCCAAUCUACAUUUCAGUGGCAAAGCUAGGCUGAUUCAAUUAUUUGUACUUUUACCACACUGUAUCCCCAUUCUUUCGUUAAAAACUAGUGGAAAUUAAAAAUGAAAGUGUUGAAAUUAGCAAUAAUAAAAUCGAGACUGAGAUAAGAACCCCUAAGUGUUCAGAAUGACAAAUAUUUACCAUGAGGUUUACACUUCUUGAUCUUCAGCAUAUUGCUUAGGGGCUAAGUUGCUGCAAUAAAAUAUUAAAGAACAUGUACAAAAGAG
This 498-nucleotide long non-coding RNA is filed under the name Equus caballus (horse). RNAcentral describes it as "lncRNA (ENSECAG00000050088.1)". Lineage: Eukaryota; Metazoa; Chordata; Mammalia; Perissodactyla; Equidae. The record is from RNAcentral.